GUAAUUCCUAAGGCCCAGUUUUAAAGAUGGGUUGAUAGCCUCCAGUGGCAGAGAGGAGAAUUUCCAAUUGUUUCUGUUCUGCAUUAUGGAUUAAUUUCUGUAUUUUCUUCCUCAAUGUACAAGUAAGAUGGCAGUUAUAUAAAAUCAUACCCAAUACAAUCAGGACUAUAAUAACAAGAGGAUAGAAGAAUGAUUUGAUUAUCUGGGAUCCAGUAGGGGACCAACCAGUAAAAGCAUCGUACCAAUGAUGGGCUAAAUCAUUCUGAAUUUGUGAACUCACCUUAAGGAGUUCUCCUUUUAGGAUAUGUGUGGCUACCUGUGUG
This is a non-coding RNA of Pelobates cultripes (western spadefoot toad), 323 nucleotides long. The record is from the annotation of a GenBank genome assembly. Lineage: Eukaryota; Metazoa; Chordata; Amphibia; Anura; Pelobatidae.